Long non-coding RNA from Triticum urartu, 1165 nucleotides. RefSeq lists it as uncharacterized. The record is from RefSeq and is a predicted model, not a curated record. NCBI's taxonomy places the organism in Eukaryota, Viridiplantae, Streptophyta, Magnoliopsida, Poales, Poaceae.
GAAAGCUCUGUACGGACUGGACCUGAGGGUGAGGACACAGGUUAGCCGCAUGUGCUGCGUCUCGCACGAUUCCCUUUCCUGUCUUGGUGGUCGCAGAACAAGCUGAGCUGCGAGAACAGCACCGGCGUCCGGGCUGCUUCCUGUCCCGGCUGGCUAUGCUCAUGCUGAUUCCAGGAGCGACGACGGGGGCGGCGAUGGACUCUGGAUCAAUCUCGGCGGCAAGGGAUCCAGAGGCGCGUGAGGAGCCGUGCGUAUUGGAGGAGGGCGGUAACGCUUUGCCCAAUCGGCCGUAGGCUCGCCGGAUUCGGCCGUCGGAGCGGCCUCAGCGGACAUGCGUCGGUUGGAUCAAGGAGGGGGCUUUGACUGAUGUCCAGUCCUCCGGCGCUUCCUGCAAGACCUUCAGUUCUGGGGGUGGAGAUGUGGCGUCCGCAAACCCCGGGUGUGCGACUCCUGCCGUCGUCUCGCACACCUCCAUCGAAUCCAGCCUCUGCAGUGCCACGGCGGAAUCCUGCACGACAUUCAGUUCUGGGGGCGUGGGCGUGUCGUCGGCAUGAGUCUGCGACAAGACGCCGGCGGUCAUUCGAGCUGCGCCGUGCAGUCCUUAGGCCACAACGGUCCGGCUACGGGCAACACCACCAUCCGCGUUGGCUGGAAGCGCAGGCCAAGAGGUUCUCGUGCGCCAGACGAGAUGGCUGUAGUAGUUGAUCGCGUUUCUCCGCUUGAAGCUGCCAUUUGAGGAUUCGCUGGUAGGGGGACUGAGGUGGUGGUCAACCCGGCGCUUGGCACAAUUUUUGAUUCACUGGCAGAGGCGUAUGAAUUCUACAAUCUCUAUUCAUGGGAGGUGCGGUUUGGGAUUCGAUACGGCAAGAGCAGGCAAAAUGUAGAUGGCACCAAAUGUAUGCAAGAGAUUGUGUGCGGCUGCGCUGUAAGCCCCCUUUUGUGUUUAUAUUUUGUGCUUGUAUGCCGUGCAUGGCUUGUUUUAUGCGGGAAUGAGCUGACAUAUUUUCCCUGUUUAUUGUUUUGUAACUAAAUUACAGGGCAAACUAGAGAGGGAGAACAGUUGUGACAUGUGAUUUUCAUUUUCCAAUAAGGGAUGUCACAACUUGUUGGGACUGUAAAAUUGACUUAGUGCUGUUAUUCUUACAUUUCCUGCUUUUGACGUUCC